UAACGCGUUAAAUCGACGCUGGGGAGUACGGCCGCAAGGUUAAAACUCAAAUGAAUUGACGGGGGCCCGCACAGCGGUGGAGCAUGUGGUUUAAUUCGAUGCAACGCGAAGAACCUUACCUGGUCUUGACAUCCAUAGAAUCUUUCAGAGAUGAGAGAGUGCCUUCGGGAGCUAUGAGACAGGUGCUGCAUGGCUGUCGUCAGCUCGUGUUGUGAAAUGUUGGGUUAAGUCCCGCAACGAGCGCAACCCCUAUCCUUUGUUGCCAGCACGUAAUGGUGGGAACUCAAAGGAGACUGCCGUUGAUAAAGCGGAGGAAGGUGGGGACGACGUCAAGUCAUCAUGGCCCUUACGACCAGGGCUACACACGUGCUACAAUGGCGUAUACAAAGGGAUGCGAAGGUGCGAACUGGAGCGGACCUCACAAAGUACGUCUAAGUCCGGAUUGGAGUCUGCAACUCGACUCCAUGAAGUCGGAAUCGCUAGUAAUCGUGAAUCAGAAUGUCACGGUGAAUACGUUCCCGGGCCUUGUACACACCGCCCGUCACACCAUGGGAGUGGGUUGCACCAGAAGUAGAUAGCUUAACCUUCGGGAGGGCGUUUACCACGGUGUGGUUCAUGACUGGGGUGAAGUCGUAACAAGGUAACCA
Molecule: ribosomal RNA, 647 nt
Filed under: uncultured Enterobacteriaceae bacterium
Lineage: Bacteria; Pseudomonadati; Pseudomonadota; Gammaproteobacteria; Enterobacterales; Enterobacteriaceae
Description: bacterial SSU rRNA
Rfam family: Bacterial small subunit ribosomal RNA
Source: RNAcentral